UUUUUUUUUUUUUUUACAUAACAACCCUGACAGCCAGAAAGAUCAGACUCUCUUCAUUUCUUUCAACAAUUCUUUCUGUGUCAACGCCUUAUCGAUCGAUCGAAAGGGACUUCACAAACCAUCUGAGAUGUGGCCAUUAUUUGUUCUAUUGAGCAAGUUUUUGGGAACAGAAGAAGAUAACACCGAAGAAUCAGAAAGGGAGCAUUUAAGUUUGGUCUUAAAACAAUCAUUGGGUCGAGAUGAAUUCCACGGCACAGUUUCCGGCUCAUACUUUGUUGAUGUUCCGCAUAUAAACCAAUUACAUUCGUGGGACUGCGGUCUUGCUUGUGUUCUGAUGGUUUUGAGGUUUCUUGGAAUCAAGGAUGGAAACAUGCAAGAGCUAGAAGAGUUCUGCUGCACUACCAGUAUUUGGACAGUUGAUCUGGCGUAUUUAUUGAAGAAAUUUUCUGUCAGUUUUUCCUACUUCACAGUAACAUUAGGUGCAAAUCCAAGUUUUUCUGUGGAGACAUUUUACAAGGAACAACUGCCCAAUGAUCUUGUCCGAGUGGAUAUGCUAUUUCAAAAAGCACGUGAUGCUGGUAUAAGUAUAGAGUGCAGAUCAAUCAGCAGUGAAGAGAUCUCUUUACUGAUCUUGUCUGGAAAUUUUCUUGCAAUUACUUUAGUUGAUCAGUACAAAUUAAGUCAUUCUUGGCUGGAUGUUUGUGCUUCAGAUUUAUGCAUCGACACCCCAGACUAUACUGGUCAUUAUAUUGUCAUCUGUGGCUAUGACAGUGACGCAGAUGAGUUUGAGAUUCGUGAUCCUGCCAGUUCAAGAGUGGAGAGCACAACUGGUAACAUAGAGACAUGAACAAGACAGAGACAUCAAAACUCAAUCGGCAACAGAAAAGGGGUUUUCUCCAACAAGGGGGAGAUAAUUCCUAAAACUCAGUGAAAACAAGUCGUGAAACAUUUAAAGUUUUGUGUUCUUUUUCUCCUAAAGGUAUGAUUUUCAUGGAGGUUGUCGACUUUGUGAUAAGGUGUCGAAAGAAGGUUCAUUUGGCAUUUUGUAGGACAUCCUAAGCAAUACAGAACCGAUCAGUGCAAAGUCCAAAGAUCACCUAACAGACAAGAGAUAGUGAUAUACAAUACGCUAACUUGGAUGGGGAAGGGUCCACCAGAGAAAUAUCUUUUUUUCAAAGAGAUGAUCUUCUGAAGUGGUUCCAAAUACUUGCAAUUGUCUCCUAUAUUCCAGCCAUGAUAUCCAGCAACGAAAUAUGGAAGGGUCACCUCAAAAUGUUUAGAAAAGGCCCGCAAAUCCUUCGGAACUGAUGAGGAUCUUCUACUG
Molecule: non-coding RNA, 1324 nt
Organism: Solanum lycopersicum (tomato)
Lineage: Eukaryota; Viridiplantae; Streptophyta; Magnoliopsida; Solanales; Solanaceae
Source: RefSeq, a predicted model, not a curated record